UACGUAGGGUGCAAGCGUUGUCCGGAAUUAUUGGGCGUAAAGAGCUUGUAGGCGGUUUGUCGCGUCUGCUGUGAAAUUUCGGGGCUCAACCCCGAACUUGCAGUGGGUACGGGCAGACUAGAGUGUGGUAGGGGAGACUGGAAUUCCUGGUGUAGCGGUGAAAUGCGCAGAUAUCAGGAGGAACACCGAUGGCGAAGGCAGGUCUCUGGGCCACUACUGACGCUGAGAAGUGAAAGCAUGGGGAGCGAACAGG
Molecule: ribosomal RNA, 253 nt
Filed under: uncultured bacterium
Lineage: Bacteria
Description: partial 16S ribosomal RNA
Rfam family: Bacterial small subunit ribosomal RNA
Source: RNAcentral